GCAGGUCUUUUCUAUGCUAUUCUCAUGAAAAUAAGUAAGUCUCACAAGAUCUGAUUGUUUUAUAAAGAGAAGUUUCCUCGCAGAAGUUCUUUUCUCCUGUCUACUGCCAGGUGAGACAUCACCUUCCACCCAUGAUUGUGAAGCCUCCCAGGCCACAUGGCACUGUGAGUCAAUGAAACCUUUCUUUUGUAAAUUGCCCAGUCUUGGAUAUGUCUUUAUCAGGAGCAAGAAAACAUGCUAAUGCAGUAAAUUGGUACUGGUAGUGUAGGAUGCAGCUGAAAAGAUACCUGAAAAUGUGAAAGUGACUUUGGAACUGGGUAACAGGCAGAGGCUGGAACAGUUCGGAGGCUCAGAAGAACCAGGAAAAUGUGGAAAUGUUUGGAACUCCAACUCCCUAGAGACUUGUUGAAUGGCUUUGACCAAAAUGCUGAUAAUGACAUAGACAAAGGCAUCCAGGCUGAGGUGAUGUCAGAUGGAUAUGAGGAACUUGUUGAGAAAGAGCAAAAAUGACUCUUGUUAUUUUAGCAGCAUUUGCCCCUGCACUAGAGAUCUGAGGAACUUUGAACUUGAGAGAGAUGAUUUGCAGUAUCUGGCAGAAGACAUUUCUAAGAAGCAAAGCAUUCAAGAGAUUGAAUCCCAGAUUCCACCUGGAAAAAGGAGGGAUCAGCUCCUCCCCGCUGCAAAUGGUACAAACUUCUGUGACUCCACCGCAAUGUGCACACAUCCCAGUGCGCAGGCCAGCCGGGGUUUUCCAGGAACCCCUUUACACCAGCUGUCUCUUUAAGUGAUAUAAACAAACAUCAAAUAUAAGCCCAUUAUUGCAGACUAUGCCUUGGAUAUGACAAAUAUCAAUCAAUUGAUUGUUGUACACAACUAGUAAAAUAGAAAACCUAGGAGUAAUUUUUACUGCUUUUUGCCAACUGAAAGCUAUCUAUGACUUACUCAACAAAGAAGUUCUGGACAUUAUACCUUGACAUUGAACGACUGACAACACCCAUAUAGUCUUUUGACAGUAGAGCUGAAAUGAAAGAUAUAGACAGCAUUCUUUUAAAAUAAGUGCACAGAAUAUGUCGGUGAGCAGCUCAUUCUAUAAAAUCUCAUGAGGACCCACUUCCAGGACAUCCUGAAACUGUGGACUAUUUGCAUACCUUUUCAACAAUUCUAUAUUUACACAGUGUUUUUUCAGGUUUGUCUCAAAGGUGGGGUUUUUUUAAAUGCACACACCCAGUUGGAUUUUUCUGUAAAUAAUCUAAUUUAAUGAGAUGGUCCAUCCAGCAAAGUUGUUCAGAUUUUGGAAGAUGGUACAAUGAUAUUUUAAAUUCUCUAAAAUGUAUUUUAGAGAUGCAGAAGAGAAGCUUAAACUCAAACAAGAUACACAUUUAUUUUAAAGGUUGAUGAAGCUCAAAUAUAGCAUUUUAAACUUCAAGUUGUAAUGACAUUUUGGAAGAUUUCAAUAAAACAUCAUAAAGUACUGACAAACUAUUUUGUCUUCAG
This 1494-nucleotide long non-coding RNA is filed under the name Callithrix jacchus (white-tufted-ear marmoset). RNAcentral's name for it is "lncRNA (ENSCJAG00000063700.2)". Lineage: Eukaryota; Metazoa; Chordata; Mammalia; Primates; Cebidae. The record is from RNAcentral.